AGUAGCGGCGAGCGAAGCGGGAUGAGCCCUAAAUUGAAACCUGUGACCUUUGUGUCCAGGGUUGUAAUGUGGCACUCUUGGGACGUCAGUUUGGGUAAGUGGCAUGAAAAUGUCUACCGCGGAGGGUGAGAGUCCCGUCCAGCCCAUUCAGGACGUAACGUACGGAGAUGUCAAUGUGAGUCGUGUAGCUUGGGAAUGCUGCGCUAAGAUCGGUGGUAAAUCUCAUCGAAGGCUAAAUACUGGUAGGAGACCGAUAGUGAACAAGUACCGUGAGGGAAAGAUCAAAAGCACUUUGAAAAGAGGGUGAAAAGAACCUGAAACCGUUACGAAGGAAGCGUAUUGCGUUGAAUUGGUGGCUAUUAUUGUGUUCAGCCGUUUCGGUGUAUUCACAAUUUGGCUAUCCGUCGUGCCUUUCCUGUGGCUGAAUUUGAGCCGCGGGAGAGGGAGGGAUCCCCUUUAUGGGUUGAGGACGAUGGAGCGGCAACGCGAUGCGACCCGUCUUGAAACACGGACCAAGGAGUCUAACACAGUUGCAAGUUGAAGGGUGGAGAAACCUGGAGGCGCAGUGAAAGCGAACUAUCCAGAACUGGCAGUUUGUGGCGGCAUAAAAUCGUUGAUUUUAGGUCUGACCUAGAGCAGUUGUGUUAGGACCCGAAAGAUGGUGAACUAUGCUUGAGUAGGGCGAAGCCAGAAGAAAUUYUGGUGGAGGCCCGAAGCGGUGCUGACGUGCAAAUCGCUCGUCGAACUCGAGUAUAGGGGCGAAAGACUAAUCGAACCAUMUAGUAGCUGGUUCCCUCYGAAGUUUCUCUCAGGAUAGCGGGCCGACACUUAUUGUUUUGUGCGGUAAAGCGAAUGAUUAGCGCACGCGGGGACUCUUAGUCUUCGGUCGAUUCUCAAACUUUUAAUGCGCAAGGGCACCGGUGCUUUGUUGAGCGGUGCCGAUAAAAAUGUCGGCUUCGUGGGCCACUUUUGGUAAGCAGAACUGGCGAUGUGGGAUGAACCAUACGUGUGGUUAAGGCGCCAAAUUGCUCGCUUAUAGAUCCCAAAAAAGGUGUUGAUUCAUCGAGACAGCACUGCCGAAUGGAUUAGCCCUGAAAAUGGAUGGCGCUAAAGCGGGCAGCCGAUACCACGCCGUCUAUUUAAGAAGAUAAUAGAUGAGUAGGAGGGCGUGGAGGUCGUAUCGAAGCAUGCGUGCGAACGUGUGUGGAACGGCCUCUAGUGCAGAUCUUGGUGGUAGUAGCAAAUAUUCAAGCGAGAUCCUUGAAGGGCGAAGCGGGGAAGGGUUCCACGCGAACAUUGAUUGGGCGUGGGUGAGUCGUUCCUAAGCCGAGUGGUAAUUGCUAUCUAGCGGCGAAAGGGAAGCGGGUUGAAAUUCCCGCACACGGAUGUGGAGGCGGUGACGCUUUAAUGAGACGAGCAUGUUGGCGGUUGCACUGGGCAGAGAUUUCUUUUCUGUUUAACCAGCUCGCGCGCUGUGUGGAAUCCGCUUGUCGGGAGAAACACGCGUACCGGGUAAGAGCGCCGGGAUAUUUUCGGCGUCCAGCUCGCGACCGACGGCCCUUGAAAACUUGUCUGCUGUAUUAAGAUCCACGCCGUGGCGUACCGAUAACCGCAUCAGGUCCCCAAGGUGAACAGCCUCUGUCUAAUAUGAAAAAUGCAGGUAAGGGAAGUCGGCAAAUUGGACCCGUAACUUCGGGAAAAGGGUUGGCUCUAGUGCUGCGUGGGAGUAGUUGUCCAUUGUCGGCCGUGGCUGGCUAGCUGUGAUGGAUCGGGGGGCAACCCUUGGGCCUCUGGCAGGCUGGUUACGUUCGCGGUGGACGACGCCCACAGCAUGCAGCAGACUAGAACUGCAACGGUCAAAGGGAAUCCGACUGUUUAAUUAAAACAAAGCAUUGCGAUGGCCAGGGAUGGUGAUGACGCAAUGUGAUUUCUGCUCAGUGCUCUGAAUGUCAAAGUGAAGAGAUUCAAUCAAGCGCGGGUAAACAGCGGGAGUAACUAUGACUCUCUUAAGGUAGCCAAAUGCCUCGUCAUCUAAUUAGUGACGCGCAUGAAUGGAUUAACGAGAUUCCUACUGUCCCUAUCUGCUUCUAGCGAAACCACAGCCGAGGGAACGGGCUCGGCAAAACCGGCGGGGAAAGAAGACCCUGUUGAGCUUGACUCUAUUCUAAUUUUGUGAAGCAAGCUGGGAGGUGUAGCAUAGGUGGGAGACUUUUGUCGUCCGUGAAAUACCACUACUCCUAGUCUUGCUUUACUUACUGGGUGAAUGUGGACGACUUUUUCAAGUCUGUUUUAGCUCCAAGCGCCUGUUUUUUUAAACAGAUGCGACUACAGCUCAGGACACAUUUAGGAGGGGAGUUUGGCUGGGGCGGUACAUCUUCUACAAGACAACGAAGGUGUCCAAAGAUAAGCUCAGUGAGAACAGAAAUCUCACGUUGAGCAAAAGGGUAAAAGCUUGUUUUAUUUUGAUUUUCAGUGCGAGUCAAAAACGCGAAAGCGUGGCCUAUCGAUCCUUUUAAUAUUCGAGWUYUGAAGCAAGAGGUGUCAGAAAAGUUACCACAGGGAUAACUGGCUUGUGGCGGCCAAGCGUUCAUAGCGACGUCGCUUUUUGAUCCUUCGAUGUCGGC
RNAcentral lists this ribosomal RNA (2624 nucleotides) under Leptofauchea sp. coralligena. RNAcentral's name for it is "LSU rRNA". It matches the Rfam family "Eukaryotic large subunit ribosomal RNA", at positions 82 to 2888 of the family's 3401-position model. Lineage: Eukaryota; Rhodophyta; Florideophyceae; Rhodymeniales; Faucheaceae. The record is from RNAcentral.